CCCAGACUCCUACGGGAGGCAGCAGUGGGGAAUAUUGCACAAUGGGGGAAACCCUGAUGCAGCAACGCCGCGUGAGUGAAGAAGUAUUUCGGUAUGUAAAGCUCUAUCAGCAGGGAAGAAGAAAGACGGUACCUGACUAAGAAGCCCCGGCUAACUACGUGCCAGCAGCCGCGGUAAUACGUAGGGGGCAAGCGUUAUCCGGAUUUACUGGGUGUAAAGGGGGCGCAGACGGCGAUGCAAGCCAGGAGUGAAAGCCCGGGGCCCAACCCCGGGACUGCUCUUGGAACUGCGUGGCUGGAGUGCAGGAGGGGCAGGCGGAAUUCCUGGUGUAGCGGUGAAAUGCGUAGAUAUCAGGAGGAACACCGGUGGCGAAGGCGGCCUGCUGGACUGCAACUGACGUUGAGGCCCGAAAGCGUGGGGAGCAAACAGGAUUAGAUACCCCGUAUA
This 447-nucleotide ribosomal RNA is filed under the name uncultured bacterium. RNAcentral's name for it is "partial 16S ribosomal RNA". It matches the Rfam family "Bacterial small subunit ribosomal RNA", at positions 330 to 792 of the family's 1533-position model. The record is from RNAcentral.